Molecule: ribosomal RNA, 801 nt
Filed under: uncultured bacterium
Lineage: Bacteria
Description: bacterial SSU rRNA
Rfam family: Bacterial small subunit ribosomal RNA
Source: RNAcentral
AGAGUUUGAUCCUGGCUCAGGAUGAACGCUGGCGGCGUGCCUAACACAUGCAAGUCGAACGAAGCGCCUUUUGAGAUUCUUCGGAUGAUUGAUUGGUGACUGAGUGGCGGACGGGUGAGUAACGCGUGGGUAACCUGCCCUGUACAGGGGGAUAACAGCUGGAAACGGCUGCUAAUACCGCAUAAGCGCACGAGGAGACAUCUCCUAGUGUGAAAAACUCCGGUGGUACAGGAUGGGCCCGCGUCUGAUUAGCUGGUUGGCAGGGUAACGGCCUACCAAGGCAACGAUCAGUAGCCGGUCUGAGAGGAUGAACGGCCACAUUGGAACUGAGACACGGUCCAAACUCCUACGGGAGGCAGCAGUGGGGAAUAUUGCACAAUGGGGGAAACCCUGAUGCAGCAACGCCGCGUGAGUGAAGAAGUAUUUCGGUAUGUAAAGCUCUAUCAGCAGGGAAGAUAAUGACGGUACCUGACUAAGAAGCUCCGGCUAAAUACGUGCCAGCAGCCGCGGUAAUACGUAUGGAGCAAGCGUUAUCCGGAUUUACUGGGUGUAAAGGGUGCGUAGGUGGCAGUGCAAGUCAGAUGUGAAAGGCCGGGGCUCAACCCCGGAGCUGCAUUUUGAAACUGCAUAGCUGGAGUACAGGAGAGGCAGGCGGAAUUCCUAGUGUAGCGGUGAAAUGCGUAGAUAUUAGGAGGAACACCAGUGGCGAAGGCGGCCUGCUGGACUGUUACUGACACUGAGGCACGAAAGCGUGGGGAGCAAACAGGAUUAGAUACCCUGGUAGUCCACGCCGUAAACGAU